Molecule: long non-coding RNA, 240 nt
Filed under: Ananas comosus (pineapple)
Lineage: Eukaryota; Viridiplantae; Streptophyta; Magnoliopsida; Poales; Bromeliaceae
Description: long non-coding RNA (ACOM_LNC030525)
Source: RNAcentral
CAAUAGAACAUAUAGUACUAACAUAUAGUACUACAUAAAUCUAUAGUGCUAACUGAUCUCAUAAUUGUAGGCACCAAUAUUAUCCACCUCUAUUGUUGCCUGCAUACUGUGCUAGGUACCACCCCCCCUGACCUGGUUUUUAUAUUGCCUAAGCCAUUUACUUAUUUACUUGCCGCUGAUAUGUGGAUACGGCUUACCUCCUCACUACCUGGCUUUGUUGUGCUGUCAAAUUAAGUAGGG